Long non-coding RNA from Carassius carassius (crucian carp), 344 nucleotides. RefSeq lists it as uncharacterized. NCBI's taxonomy places the organism in Eukaryota, Metazoa, Chordata, Actinopteri, Cypriniformes, Cyprinidae. The transcript is spliced from 3 exons. The record is from RefSeq and is a predicted model, not a curated record.
UGCUGGUCUUAGAUGGUCAUACAACUACUCCCCCUGCUGUGCAAGUCCAUAGCAAUCGUUUCCUGCUGCCUGUUGUUGGUCAGUCUAAGUCACUCAGUUUCGAUGUUCCUCUUCCUCACAAACUCAGACUCCUACAGGAUUCAGCUUCAGAUUUCUCUAUGAAUGGAGAGUCUUUGAGUGAAGAAGAUGGAUUCCAUAAAAUUGCUAUUCAUUAAAAAACUAACCAUCAUUUAAUAAUGAGCACAAAGUCUAUCAGUUACCAUAAUGGCCAGGACAAAGUUGAGAUUUUGUGGGGCCAGGAACUGACCCAAACACAAUACUGAUGGGUAAAUAUAGAAGUGUAG